UUCCUUAAUCUCUCUCAGGGCAGAUCUGCUCUGCAGGUAGUGUGCCCUACAGCUUACAGAGAGAAAUACACACCCUGUUUCCUGCCUAAAAUCCAUUUUAUGCUCCUUGACCUCUCAGCAGCAUUUGACACAGUUGACCACCACAUCCUGUUGCUGUCUUCCCUGACUGCCUUGGUGAUCUGCCAUACAACUCUCAACUGGUUUGCUUCCUACCUUGGCAGUUGCUCCUUCCUGGGGAUGUCACAGUUUCAGGUUUCCAAGGCAACCAGCGCUAGGCACAACAGACUUCAUGGAGGAAUUUUCUGUCUGCACUUCUUAAGAACGAGAUCAUUGGGUAACGAGUGGAACGUUCCUACCUCGAGACUGCAUCCUACAACUGUGCAGUCAGCCAUCCUCAACAGACGAACGGUCACUACAAUGUCACUAAUCGGGUUUCUAUGCGUGUGACUCCACAGAAAAGAACCCUGCCAUUGCACAUCGCUAUAGUAGGGUUACAUUUUCUUUUUUUUAAAUGCAGCAGCAUUAAUAUGCAAACUCCACUGCCAAUUCAGAAGAGUGUAAACAUCCACAUUUCUGCAUCUUUUCACACCGCAGAGUACAGCUAAGCUAACAUGGAGUGGAGUCGGAGGAAGACCAUUAAUUUGCGGCUUUAACCAUGCUGUCCAUGGGUGCUCGAUUGACCAGUGGGGGUUAUUAGAUAGUGAUGAAGUGCAGAUCCCUAACCAAAUGAACCCUCCCAUACCCUGGGAAACACAAACACCAUUUCAGAUAAUAACAGAAACAUAAAGUGUAAAUUAAGGUAUUUUGAUUGUUUAACAAGUGCAGUGCUAUUGUUCACAAAGUGUCUCUACCAAAGUCAUGGAAAGAGGAAAGUUUAGAGAAAGAAAGGAACUGGAAUUAUGCCACCUCAUGCGUGAAACAUGGUGGAGUAGUAUUACCGUUUGGACAUGUAUGGCUACCAACUGGAACUGGCUCACUUGUCUUUAAUGGGGAUAAAUGCAGGAUCACGUUCCCAAACAUACUGCUUAUUCAGCCAAGGAGUUUUUCAGGGCCAGACACCCCUCCUGAAUUCUAGUGAACAUGUAUUUCACUUGGUGAAGACAAAGCUGAAGGCAAAACGGCCCAGAAACAAACAGGAACUGAAGACUGCAGUAGAGAUCUGGCAGAGCAUCCCCAUGGAAUAUAUCUAGCGCCUGGUGAUGUUUAAGAGUUGCAGACUUCAGACAGUCAUGGAAUGCAAAGGAUUUGCAACCAAGUAAAAAAAAAACUUUGUUACUUUAUUUCAGAUUAUGUUAAUUUGUCCAAUUAAAUGGGGGGACUAUGUACAUAUAAAAAGGGCUGUAAUUCCUACAGCACGCAGAUCA
Anguilla rostrata (American eel) is the source of this 1364-nucleotide long non-coding RNA. RefSeq lists it as uncharacterized. NCBI's taxonomy places the organism in Eukaryota, Metazoa, Chordata, Actinopteri, Anguilliformes, Anguillidae. The transcript has 4 exons. The record is from RefSeq and is a predicted model, not a curated record.